RNAcentral lists this ribosomal RNA (663 nucleotides) under Enterobacter mori. RNAcentral describes it as "bacterial SSU rRNA". It matches the Rfam family "Bacterial small subunit ribosomal RNA", at positions 68 to 718 of the family's 1533-position model. Lineage: Bacteria; Pseudomonadati; Pseudomonadota; Gammaproteobacteria; Enterobacterales; Enterobacteriaceae. The record is from RNAcentral.
GGACCCGGGAGUACUUGCUACUUUGCCGGCGAGCGGCGGACGGGUGAGUAAUGUCUGGGAAACUGCCUGAUGGAGGGGGAUAACUACUGGAAACGGUAGCUAAUACCGCAUAACGUCGCAAGACCAAAGAGGGGGACCUUCGGGCCUCUUGCCAUCAGAUGUGCCCAGAUGGGAUUAGCUAGUAGGUGGGGUAACGGCUCACCUAGGCGACGAUCCCUAGCUGGUCUGAGAGGAUGACCAGCCACACUGGAACUGAGACACGGUCCAGACUCCUACGGGAGGCAGCAGUGGGGAAUAUUGCACAAUGGGCGCAAGCCUGAUGCAGCCAUGCCGCGUGUAUGAAGAAGGCCUUCGGGUUGUAAAGUACUUUCAGCGGGGAGGAAGGUGUUGAGGUUAAUAACCUCAGCGAUUGACGUUACCCGCAGAAGAAGCACCGGCUAACUCCGUGCCAGCAGCCGCGGUAAUACGGAGGGUGCAAGCGUUAAUCGGAAUUACUGGGCGUAAAGCGCACGCAGGCGGUCUGUCAAGUCAGAUGUGAAAUCCCCGGGCUCAACCUGGGAACUGCAUUCGAAACUGGCAGGCUAGAGUCUUGUAGAGGGGGGGUAAAUUCCAGGUGUAGCGGGUGAAAAUGCGUAAAAAUCUGGAAGAAAUAACGAGUGGCCA